UUUCACCUUAACGUGUAAAGAUGGUCAAGUGCCUGAGAAUAAGAGCUGUUACUAUCCUCCGCUUCGACUUUUAACUCUCCCUGUCAGCCUGUGAGACUCGACACUUUAAUCAGACUUUGCCAUUACCCCCUAGCCUCGCUCACAAUGGUACAGUCCGGGCGCUGGCCGCUCGCCAGGAGUCGGAGCCCGGCGCACGCGAGCUCCGCCAAGAGUGGGGGGCGGAUGGCGAUUGGCUGAUCCCGGUUGCCGGAGCCGAGCCUGCGUCUUUUGUCUGCCCUGCUCCAGCUGAGGAGCGGAGACGGCUGCGCGCCCCAAGCGAGCCAAUCAGAAGAUAGCCGGCGCCGGCCGAAAUGGAUGAAAAUUUUCUUCUGUGCUCUGAAUAUAGUGUAUGAUCUCAGGGUUCUCUGUGCCAGCAGACUCUGUCUGGAACUCAGCCAAAAGUUCUUCAUGAUUAAAGCCUAGCUCUCCCAGCCUCUCCCUGGCUUCUGACUGCUGGGUCUCAACCUCAUGAUUAUGUUCUUGUGGAAUUCACUGCAGGCUUUAUUCCCCAACCACAACUGAAACGCAUCCCUUGGAUUAAGUCUUCUUUUCCAAGACAAUAGAGGAAUUGAGCCCAGAAUCCUAGCUCGAUAUGGGGCUUUGCGGUUGCUGUUUCUGCAGUGUUCGCCUAGGACCCUGAAAAUAAGAACCAGGCUGUGCCCAUCUCACCCGUGAAUUGCUUCGUCUCUGAAAUGUUUAACUCAAUAAUGGACCACUAAGACGUGUCUGUUUUGUUGAGGUUUUUUUUUUUUUUCUCUGACCAAGUUAUAUAUUGGGAAAAAUGAUUAUACCCUAGUACCACUUCAGCCAGUUCUAUCUGACAAUCUGUAUGUGCCUUAAGCCCAGAAGCUCUAAAUAUGGCCUUAUUUGAAAAUGAAGUCUUCAAAGGUGGAAGAAAAGAUCUGCAAAGAGAUUAUCACAGAUUUAAGGUGGGUUCUCCAUCCAGUAACAAAGGUCAUUAUAAGAAAUGAAGAAGUGGGGGUUGGGGAUUUGGCUCAGUGGUAGAGCACUUGCCUAGGAAGCACAAGGUCCUGGGUUCGAUCCCCAGCCCCGAAAAAAAAGAAAAAAGAAAAAAAAAAAAAAGAAGAAGAAGUGGGGUUGGGGAUUUAGCUCAGUGGUAGAGCGCGUGCCUAGGAAGCACAAGGUCCUGGGUUCGAUCCCCAGCCCCGAAAAAAAGAACCAAAAAAAAAAAAAAAAGAAAGAAAGAAAGAAAUGAAGAAGUAUAUCUGAGACACAGCCAUAGAUGAGAGGCUGUUGGAAGACAAUAGCAGGGAUUGGAGAAAUAGCUCUACAAGCCAGAAAUCACUAAGUUACUAAGUACAUGCAACCCCCAGAAUUUAGGAGAAGGCAUGGACUCUCUCUCAGAGUCUCCAGAAAGUGCUAAUCCUGCCUACAUCUUGGCUUUGAAUCUUUGGAUUCCAGUUAUGAGGAACUUAUAAAAGAAUAAAUUUCUAUUGUUUUAAGCCAGCCAGUUGUGGUAAGACACUAUUGCAAUCCUAGGAGAGUAAGACCACAAAUGCCAGGCCUUCUUCCUCCUCUUUUUUUUUUUUUAUGUUUUGAGACAAGCUCUAACUCUGGAGCCCAAGCUGGCUGUCCCUAGGAUGCUAGACUCACUGUAAUCUUCAUAUGUCAUUCUUCCAAGUGCCGGGAUUACAAGGAUCAACCAUCACACUCGGUUCCAUAAUUUUUAAAUAUUUCCCAUUUAAUUCAUUUGUUUAUUUUAAAUGGUUUCAUGCUUUGGGAAUGCUAGUGUUACACCUUUAAUCGCCUUACUGGGGAGUCAGGAGCAGGUGGAUCUCUGUGAGAUCAGAUUCUACACAGUGAGAUCCUUCAGGGCAAGAGGGGUGCACUUUUAUAAUAUUUUAUAAGAAAAUAAACGAGGAUGUUU
Long non-coding RNA from Rattus norvegicus (Norway rat), 1927 nucleotides. RefSeq lists it as uncharacterized. NCBI's taxonomy places the organism in Eukaryota, Metazoa, Chordata, Mammalia, Rodentia, Muridae. The record is from RefSeq and is a predicted model, not a curated record.